UACGGAGGAUCCAAGCGUUGUCCGGAUUUAUUGGGUUUAAAGGGUGCGUAGGCGGAUAAUUAAGUCAGUGGUGAAAUCUUGCGGCUCAACCGUAAAAUUGCCAUUGAAACUGAUUAUCUUGAGUACAGUUGAGGUGGGCGGAAUGUAUCAUGUAGCGGUGAAAUGCUUAGAUAUGAUACAGAACACCUAUUGCGAAAGCAGCUCACUAAACUGCAACUGACGCUGAGGCACGAAAGCGUGGGGAGCAAACAGG
This 253-nucleotide ribosomal RNA is filed under the name uncultured bacterium. RNAcentral's name for it is "partial 16S ribosomal RNA". It matches the Rfam family "Bacterial small subunit ribosomal RNA", at positions 524 to 776 of the family's 1533-position model. The record is from RNAcentral.